Marasmius oreades (fairy-ring Marasmius) is the source of this 101-nucleotide non-coding RNA. The record is from the annotation of a RefSeq genome assembly. Lineage: Eukaryota; Fungi; Basidiomycota; Agaricomycetes; Agaricales; Marasmiaceae.
GGCCGCCUGGCGAAAUGGCAUCGCGUCUGACUACGAUAGCAUCAAUUGAUCCUUAUAAUCGUAUAAUCAGGAGAUUGCAGGUUCGACCCCUGCGGUGGUCA